AACUUUUGGCAACGGAUCACUUGGCUCUCGCAUCGAUGAAGAAAGCAGCGAAAUGCGAUAAGUAAUGUGAAUUGCAGAAUUCAGUGAAUCAUCGAAUCUUUGAACGCAUCUUGCGCUCCUUGGUAUUCCGAGGAGCAUGCCUGUUUGAGUGUCAUUCAACUCCUCUACCACAUUCAUUUCUUGAUUGUGGCUUGGAUGGUGGGGGUUUGUUUGCAGGCUUCUUCUGUGAAAACAGAAAGGGUCGGCUCCCCUGAAAUGUAUCAGUGGUAUCUGAGGCUAUUGCUAUAGGUGUGAUAAUUAUCUAUGCCCUUGGUAUGCCGCAUGGAACUGCUUCCAACAGAGAUGAUCUUUUUGAUGAAUUUGACCUCAAAUCAGGUAGGACUACCCGCUGAACUUAAGCAUAUCAAUAAGCGGAGGCU
This 419-nucleotide unclassified non-coding RNA is filed under the name uncultured Inocybe. RNAcentral's name for it is "sequence contains ITS2". The stretch from base 1 to 154 matches the Rfam family "5.8S ribosomal RNA". The record is from RNAcentral. Lineage: Eukaryota; Fungi; Basidiomycota; Agaricomycetes; Agaricales; Cortinariaceae.